CGCUAUCACUCCUACGGGGAGGCAGCAGUAGGGAAUCUUCACGAAUGGGCGCAAGCCUGAUGGAGCAACACCGCGUGAGUGAAGAAGGGUUUCGGCUCGUAAAGCUCUGUUGUUUAAAGAAGAACACGUAUGAGAGUAACUGUUCAUACGUUGACGGUAUUUAACCAGAAAGUCACGGCUAACUACGUGCCAGCAGCCGCGGUAAUACGUAGGUGGCAAGCGUUAUCCGGAUUUAUUGGGCGUAAAGAGAGUGCAGGCGGUUUUCUAAGUCUGAUGUGAAAGCCUUCGGCUUAACCGGAGAAGUGCAUCGGAAACUGGAUAACUUGAGUGCAGAAGAGGGUAGUGGAACUCCAUGUGUAGCGGUGGAAUGCGUAGAUAUAUGGAAGAACACCAGUGGCGAAGGCGGCUACCUGGUCUGCAACUGACGCUGAGACUCGAAAGCAUGGGUAGCGAACAGGAUUAGAUACCCUGGUAG
RNAcentral lists this ribosomal RNA (475 nucleotides) under uncultured bacterium. Its description in RNAcentral is "bacterial SSU rRNA". It matches the Rfam family "Bacterial small subunit ribosomal RNA", at positions 328 to 793 of the family's 1533-position model. The record is from RNAcentral.